Morus notabilis is the source of this 193-nucleotide long non-coding RNA. RefSeq lists it as uncharacterized. The record is from RefSeq and is a predicted model, not a curated record. NCBI's taxonomy places the organism in Eukaryota, Viridiplantae, Streptophyta, Magnoliopsida, Rosales, Moraceae. The transcript is spliced from 3 exons.
GAAAGAUUCAACUCAGCCCAGAAUUGAAGAGGAAUUGGAUUUUGAGAAGAAUUUGUGGAAAGGAAAACGAACAAGGGAAACGAAGAGGGUUAAACUCAGAUUUUGCGAAGCAACUCAGGAAAAUGUAACAACAAAGCAGAACAGUAGGCAGGGGAGCUGGCUUCGUUGACCGCUGUACAUAUGGUUGGACCAA